GACGAACGCUGGCGGCGCGCCUAACACAUGCAAGUCGAACGAGCGAGAGAGAGCUUGCUUUCUCGAGCGAGUGGCGAACGGGUGAGUAACGCGUGAGGAACCUGCCUCAAAGAGGGGGACAACAGUUGGAAACGACUGCUAAUACCGCAUAAGCCCACGACCCGGCAUCGGGUAGAGGGAAAAGGAGCAAUCCGCUUUGAGAUGGCCUCGCGUCCGAUUAGCUAGUUGGUGAGGUAACGGCCCACCAAGUCGACGAUCGGUAGCCGGACUGAGAGGUUGAACGGCCACAUUGGGACUGAGACACGGCCCAGACUCCUACGGGAGGCAGCAGUGGGGAAUAUUGCACAAUGGGGGAAACCCUGAUGCAGCGACGCCGCGUGGAGGAAGAAGGUCUUCGGAUUGUAAACUCCUGUUGUUGAGGAAGAUAAUGACGGUACUCAACAAGGAAGUGACGGCUAACUACGUG
Molecule: ribosomal RNA, 466 nt
Filed under: uncultured bacterium
Lineage: Bacteria
Description: partial 16S ribosomal RNA
Rfam family: Bacterial small subunit ribosomal RNA
Source: RNAcentral